This 253-nucleotide ribosomal RNA is filed under the name uncultured bacterium. Its description in RNAcentral is "partial 16S ribosomal RNA". It matches the Rfam family "Bacterial small subunit ribosomal RNA", at positions 524 to 776 of the family's 1533-position model. The record is from RNAcentral.
UACAGAGGGGGCAAGCGUUGUUCGGAAUUACUGGGCGUAAAGGGCGCGUAGGCGGCCUGUUAAGUCGGACGUGAAAUCCCUCGGCUCAACCGGGGAACUGCGUCCGAUACUGGCGGGCUUGAAUUCGGGAGAGGGAUGUGGAAUUCCAGGUGUAGCGGUGAAAUGCGUAGAUAUCAUUUGGAACGCCAAUGGUGAAAACAGCUCGCUGGGGGUUUGCUGACGCUGAGACACGAAAGCCAGGGGAGCAAACGGG